AUAUUAUUAUUAUCAUUGUACGUGGGUGCACAUUAGCUGCGUUAGUGCGAUGCUCCGCCCUAGGUAAAUAGCCGUGGUUUACUGCUGAAAAUGCUCGGGAAUGCGUGUGAAAAUUCAGUCGAGCGAGGACUUAUGCAAGUGUAGGAUGCAUAUUGUGUUUGCGCGUCAAAGGUAGUUUCUAUGAGCUUCUUCGCGCCGGGCUUUAUAGGAGGCGAUUACAUAAGGUUUUGCAUAAAUUUCCAUGUGAGAAUGAGACUGUACUUUGCGAGUGCGCGAAGUAGUGCGGAGUGGGUCAUUCCUCAAAUCUUGCUUUGCAUAUCAGUAUAUACACCUCUAUUCUCUAUGGGCUUGGGUAAUACACGUACAAUGGUGAAAUUACGCUUUUAAAUCGCGUUAUUUUUUGUAGUAUCGUGGAUACCUAGGCACAUAUACGCGUAUAUGUGCGGAGCUCGUUAUCGUGAUUUAGCGUUUUACAGUCGAGUUAAAGGUCGAGUGAAAAUUAAUAAGGACUCGUUUGCUUAUGCAAAAGCUUUACAUUAUUGCUCACCUGCCCGGUGAGUUAUUGUGCAGUUGCAGUAUACUUGAUAAAUUAUUCAAUAAUAUAUUUGCAUAUCUUAGUAUAUCCACGAGUAAAGUUCUGCUGUUCCUUGUAUAUUGUAAUUCUCGUACCCGCGUGAUUGACUCUUUUAUACGCAGGAAUAACGUCAAAUACUCAUUUUUCAAUUCUAUUUUUUAUCUUUUUUUCUUUUUUUUAUUCAAUCAUUUAUUGGUACGCGCCUAAAGAGUAUUUUACGAUACGCGCAAUUUUUGCCCUUUUUUCGUAUCUCCCGCCAAAAUGACGUCACACUGAUAUUUGAACAACAAUCCCGCAUAUAUUCGUAUACUUCAUGCAAAUCGAGUUAUCCUAUAAAUCCUAGAAAUAAAGUAUUAAAGAAUUAAUAUUUUGCAGCAUUGCAAUCAAUAGUAUUAGUGAGAUUUUUAAAAAUCUCGAACUUCCGGUCGACACUUUUUGGGACGGGACAUUAGCGCCCUCCGCGACCUCCGGCCCUCCACCCCGCGCAUUUUCUCGGCGGCCGGCGAAGGAGAAACAGCAACCGUCAGUUAGCGCGUCGGGUUUUUUGUUCGCCCAUAAAAGUUCUUUAUCGUUGACUUCUUUGCUCUGUGCAUACCAAGAAAGUAUCGGUUUUAGAGUCAGUGCGUGUUCCAGAUGAUGAUGUUCGUUAGGCCGGGUGAGAGAAAAAACCGUUAGACGAGAAGGUGUUCGAGGAAGCCGGGGGAAACCGACUCGCGCAUUGGCGUUUUUCGCAAAGUUUUCGGUUAAUUAUGCGUUUAGCCACGCAAGUUUGACUUUUGGUAACGUUUUCUGUCGACACUCGGUAAUUUUCGUUUUUAUCGCUCGCGACAAGCGAAACAAAGCAAAGACUUUUCCGCCAUUUUCGAGUCAUGGCGGUACCUGACGUGCAGCCCUUCUACAGCUAUAAGUGUUACUGUGUCGAUAUUGAUUCGUCAUAGGGAAAGGUAGAUCACACACUUACCGAGCCUAUUACCUGUUGCCGAGCUGCUUUGAUCGUGAUCUACUUUGCCGAUAGCUGCAUCUGAAUUCCUGUGUGACAUAACGCGCAAAAUCUGCAAGAGAGCCUCUCGUCACGUCGAUUGAAUGCCGUUGCGCCGAGCCGUUCGAGCCGCGAGAUGAAAGGAGCAGCGUGCAAAUGUUUCACUGGAGAAGCUGCGCUGAGCUGAUGGAACCCUCGGAAAAAAGGAACGUAAAUUUCGAGGCAGAGUCGCAACGCGAUACGAGAGAGGAUGAGUCACAGAGCGUAGACGGCGAAAUUCGGAUUCACUCAGAGCGAUGCGACCACCGCGCGCUCGAGGGAAUCUGGGUCGACGCUACUACCAUGGACGAAUUCGAGAGGCUUUUAUUUACGUGAUACGAUGAAACCGCUCGCACGGGUAUAUGGACGCUGUAAAUAAAGCCGAGACUCUUCACACUCGGCCGGACAUAAAUCUGACAAAAUCUACCCUCAGUCGAUGAGGGUCGUCUUUAUUGUCUCGGCAAGUCGCAGCUCUCGAGGGCCCUUCAGCGAGAGAUAGAGAAGAAAACGAGCACCAGGCCACUCUAUCCUCCGACGACGAUGAUGGCUAGAGGAAGAAGAGACUCUUGCUCACAGACGCCGUAUUUUUUGCGUUACUUCAACGAGAGCUGAAAAUUAUGUGAGCCGACUGUUUCUGACGCGUCGUCACUCAAAAGUAACUUUAUCACCGCGAAAGCUCGGAUGUGAUAAAACACACGAUUUAUGCUUUAUGUAUCUUGUCCAACGACGAGAGAUAAAUAGAUAGUAUAUCUUUCGCCAUGCACAA
Molecule: long non-coding RNA, 2358 nt
Organism: Nasonia vitripennis (jewel wasp)
Lineage: Eukaryota; Metazoa; Arthropoda; Insecta; Hymenoptera; Pteromalidae
Exons: 8
Source: RefSeq, a predicted model, not a curated record